ACAAGGCCUGGUUGCCGUGGCAGCGGCAGAGGCGGCCGCGGAGGCCCGCGGUGAGGGAAGGCCAGGACCCCGCAGGAGCUAGUGGCUAGUGGCUGGAACCGCGCCAGCGCCAUGGCCACCAAAUGGUUCACUGGUGCGCCCUUCGGGGUGCAGAGCCACAGGUUUGACAUCUCUGCUGUUUAUCCCAACCGGAAGAAGCUCAGCACCUUCACUGAGGCCCCGUACUCCACGCGUUACUCUGUGGAAGUGUCCCACAUAGGCCCUGGGACCUACAGCUCCAAGGAGACCUGCUUCAGCAAGACGAAGCUGAUGAAGGAGGUGGACACAGGCUGGGCCAAGGCCCAGGAAGCCACGCGGCUGACCCAGCUACCCCACUUCCAGUACCAGGCCAUCCUGAAAGAGAAGCGGCUGCAGGAGCAAAAGCUGGGGCCUGGCUCCUACAACCUCAAAGACUUCUUAGAACAGCUGCGGGAUAAACCAUGUAGCACCCGGGGGCUGCUCAGCUCUGGGGAGGUUCGCUUCCGAGGACUCAUUGGGAACUACUACCCGGGCCCUGGAAAUUAUGGGGAGAAGGGCAACCCAUACACCAAGCUGGAGGAGAAUGCCUGGAAGCGGUCCCAUUCCGAGGGCCUCAUGUGCAGGAUGAGCAACAAGCCCCACCCGCGGGCUCAUCAGGGCAGUGGUCUGGCACCCGGCACCUACUCCAUCAAAAGUGGCAUUGAUACAUACGUGGCACGAUCCGUUGGCACGCGUGGUCCCUAUGACACUUUCUCUGGUGAUCGGAGCAAGCCGCUGCCCUAUGGACACUACUCCAUGCAGAAAAAAAAGCCCAGGGAACUGAUGAAUUUCAAGAGCUUUGUAGAAGAACUUAACUCACGUCACAAUAAGAAACAUGGGGUUUUUUCUAAACUUCCCCGCAACCCGAAAAUCCCUACGGAGAGGAUUUACUGGUCUACCCUUAGCCAGUGCCCCCGCCUUCUGGCCACGUCUGGCCCUGGUUUCUGGCUUCCGCAAGAGACGAAAUGCAGACCUGUCAACCAUCCACCGUUCCUGUUCUCCUCCAAGGGGUCAGGUGCAAAGGCCUGCCAGAUGAUUUUGGGAAGCUGGAACCCCGUAGGUGUGGGCCGCUACCUCAACACCUGGCUGAUGGAGACCAAGGACCGGCGGCAGCGAUAUCGGUCCUUAUACCUGCCUGGAUCCAAACGCUACCUCUCAGACCCGGCCCGGGACAAGCUCAUGCAAAUCUGUUUUGUUGUAAAGGUCUAGAGGUCAUCAAUUUUGGCCUCUCACCAGUCUAGGAUCUUCUGUGAAGCAUAACCAACAGGGAAAGGAUCACACCAUUUACUAAGGGGAAGUGUCCUCCAACUGUGGAUUACAAUUCAGAUCCUACUCCUUAAAGCCACACGUGAAGAACAGCUCGCAGUGACCGGAGAACCCAAAGGCCUGAAAACAAUUCUGGGGGUGAGAGCAUGGGCAUGGGAAAGCAUGGGUGUGGGAGUGGGGGGUUUUAGGGAAAGGACACACAGGAGUGCCUGGGAGAGGCGAGAGACUUGUGGAGAUCACCUUUGCCAGAGCUGUGUACCUGAAGGUCACAGUGUCUUCUGGGACAGCUGGGGGCAGAUACCUUGUUGCAGAUCAGUUAUUCUGAGAACUCAACUCAGCCAGUGACAUGAACAUGGGGGCCAGAGAGCAGAUGGACUGAAGGGAUGGGAUGUGGUGGACACUUGUGGGACCCUUUCUAUUCUAAAGCCAGAGUGCUUGGCUCCUUGUUUAUUAAAGUUAGAAAGUGGUGGGA
Saimiri boliviensis boliviensis (Bolivian squirrel monkey) is the source of this 1795-nucleotide non-coding RNA. The record is from RefSeq and is a predicted model, not a curated record. NCBI's taxonomy places the organism in Eukaryota, Metazoa, Chordata, Mammalia, Primates, Cebidae.